RNAcentral lists this ribosomal RNA (527 nucleotides) under uncultured bacterium. RNAcentral describes it as "bacterial SSU rRNA". It matches the Rfam family "Bacterial small subunit ribosomal RNA", at positions 776 to 1301 of the family's 1533-position model. The record is from RNAcentral.
AAAUAGAUACCCAGGUAGUCCACGCCGUAAACGAUGAGUGCUAAGUGUUAGAGGGUUUCCGCCCUUUAGUGCUGCAGCUAACGCAUUAAGCACUCCGCCUGGGGAGUACGGCCGCAAGGCUGAAACUCAAAGGAAUUGACGGGGGCCCGCACAAGCGGUAGAGCAUGUGGUUUAAUUCGAAGCAACGCGAAGAACCUUACCAGGUCUUGACAUCCUCUGACAACCCUAGAGAUAGGGCUUUCCCCUUCGGGGGACAGAGUGACAGGUGGUGCAUGGUUGUCGUCAGCUCGUGUCGUGAGAUGUUGGGUUAAGUCCCGCAACGAGCGCAACCCUUGAUCUUAGUUGCCAGCAUUCAGUUGGGCACUCUAAGGUGACUGCCGGUGACAAACCGGAGGAAGGUGGGGAUGACGUCAAAUCAUCAUGCCCCUUAUGACCUGGGCUACACACGUGCUACAAUGGAUGGUACAAAGGGCUGCAAACCUGCGAGGGUAAGCGAAUCCCAUAAAGCCAUUCUCAGUUCGGAUUGC